RNAcentral lists this ribosomal RNA (484 nucleotides) under uncultured bacterium. RNAcentral describes it as "partial 16S ribosomal RNA". It matches the Rfam family "Bacterial small subunit ribosomal RNA", at positions 30 to 507 of the family's 1533-position model. The record is from RNAcentral.
AUUGAACGCUGGCGGCAUGCUUUACACAUGCAAGUCGAACGGCAGCGCGGGCUUCUGCCUGGCGUCGAGUUGCGAACGGGUGAGUAAUACAUCGGAACGUGCCCAGUAGUGGGGGAUAGCUCGGCGAAAGCCGGAUUAAUACCGCAUACGACCUGAGGGUGAAAGCGGGGGAUCUUCGGACCUCGCGCUAUUUGAUCGGCCGAUGGCAGAUUAGCUAGUUGGUGGGGUAAAGGCCUACCAAGGCGACGAUCUGUAGCUGGUCUGAGAGGACGACCAGCCACACUGGGACUGAGACACGGCCCAGACUCCUACGGGAGGCAGCAGUGGGGAAUUUUGGACAAUGGGCGAAAGCCUGAUCCAGCAAUGCCGCGUGUGUGAUGAAGGCCUUCGGGUUGUAAAGCACUUUUGGCGGGAAAGAAAAGGACUGUGCCAAUACCACGGUUCGAUGACGGUACCCGAAGAAUAAGCACCGGCUAACUACGUG